RNAcentral lists this long non-coding RNA (1803 nucleotides) under Felis catus (domestic cat). Its description in RNAcentral is "lncRNA (ENSFCAG00000047636.1)". The record is from RNAcentral. Lineage: Eukaryota; Metazoa; Chordata; Mammalia; Carnivora; Felidae.
GCAGUGAGCUCACAUACCCCCGCUUGUCACAGAGGCUCAUCGUGACCCCUCCAACAUCGCCUUGUUCCUCAAUCGCACCCACUUCUCCACCUUCUGGAAAAGAGGUCACUCCCGUUCCAUCAAAGAGCCCUCCUGGGGAUCUGGGCUGCUCAUGGGACAUCAGUGAAGCACGAAAUCCCAACUCUGCAAUAGCUCACGCCAAAGUUGGCAUCAAAGUGGUUCUCCAUCGGGGGUUGUGACUCUUCCCUGGUCUUCACACACGUGACUCUAACGACCCUGGGAAGCACCUUAGGAGAUGUUACUUCAGCUUGGAUGCUCCGCCUCAAACACAGUUUCUUACUCAUCCCGUACCAUAUUUCCGUCCCCCCACGUUUUAUUUAUUUAUUUAACGAAUAUUCAUCAUCAGUCCCAUGUGCCAGGUUCUGUACUCAGCACUUGGAAUAUACCACUAGACAAAACAGAAGAAGCCCCCUGCCCGUGAGGGGCUUAUACUCCAGUGGAGAGAGGGAACGACAAACAGUAAACAUCAAGGACACGUUUGAUGGACGGGAGCCACGACGCGCGUCCGGACGCGCGGGAGCCGGAGCUGUGGGAAAGGAAGGGAAAAUAGAGCGAGUUGCUCUCCUCCCAUCCAGGGGCUACUGGACCCUUGGCCAGCGUGACCCCUCAUUCAGGAGCUGGGUAGGAGGUAAUGGAUGGACAAAUCUUCGAAGUCAGCCCACGGGAGGGAGAGCGUGCCGGCCGCCUAGAGCAUUUCCGGUUUGGGGGAUUCUCUUCUCCGUCAGAAACACCGCUUUAGUACAAGGAGGGGGAGACGGGGCCUAAGAAUAUUCAUCCUUUAUCAUAGGGAAAAGAUCAAAUUAUCGUGGACACCGCAGUACAUAUGAAGGAGCAUGGUCGUUCCCGCCAGCCUAGGAGAACGGUGGGGAUAAGCAGCGAAAGGUAUGUAUAAAGACUCAUUAUUCCUUCCUCUUUGCACUUAUUUCCAGAAUUCACCAUUUUGAAAGGCAACGGUUAUGAGCAAGUGCCUUUCCCCAUGAAUAGCUGGCAGCAUCAGCGUCCUCUUUGUUUCAUGUUCUUUUCUCUUGGCCCCACAAGCAUCUGAAAUUCUGGAGGACUAUUAGCCUCACCCCCAUUUCAGAAGCUUGUUUUCAAAUGACCUCAGUUUCAAGGCGGGGCAUGUCCCGCAACCUCUGACCUGACCUUCUUUCUGCAACUUCAAAUGCUCUUAGGCCUCAGGACAGUAGGCCUGAUGCAAGUAUCACAUCAGGAAAAAAAAAAAAAAAAAAAAAGACAAUGGGACCCUUGACAUUGGCUGACAUUGGCCAGCCUACUGGGCCCCUUGCCUUAGUGCACGGUUCCCAAACUGUGCUAUGAAACAUGUGCUGAGAAAAUGCAGUGAACUCACAGGGGUUCCGUGGGACAUUUUGUGUUUCCAGGGAAAACACAGCUAUGCUCAACAUUUGUCAGACAGUGUGCAAAAUACUAAUCCAAGGUAAUUCAGCUUCAGUAUGAGACUCAUACUACAUUUUCCUUUCAAUGAUACCAUCUGCCUUUGCAAAGUUGGAUUUUUAGCAGUGGCUAAGGCAAAAAGCAAAUACCGCACAAAGAUCAAUGUGGACCGAGAAAUGGGAGUAGUGGUUCCAGUCUGAUUUCAAGCUUUGAGAAUUGUAUGCAGUGCCCAAUAGGCACUCACAAUCCAUUAAUAACUAAUUAGGGUUAUUCAAGAAUGAAAUUAAAAGUUUUUUUUUUCUUUCAAACUUUUUGUGUUAACUUUUCAAACAGCUACAAAGUUGUUAAAAC